Molecule: ribosomal RNA, 428 nt
Filed under: Leptopholcus tipula
Lineage: Eukaryota; Metazoa; Arthropoda; Arachnida; Araneae; Pholcidae
Description: partial 16S ribosomal RNA
Source: RNAcentral
UUCUAUAAGCAAUAAUUUAUAGUAAAACCUGCUCAAUGUAAAUAUUAAUAGCCGCAGACAACUGUGCUAAGGUAGCAUAAUCACUUGCUUCUUAAAUAGAAGAUAGAAUGAAGGGUUAAACUCUUAAAAUUUGUCUCUUUAAAUUCAAACUAACUUAAGAAUAAAGUAAAAACUCUUUAAUAACAUAAGUAGGACGAUAAGACCCCGAUAAACUAACCUUUUAGUUGGGGAAACAAAAUAACCAUAAUUUAUUAAAUAAUUCCACAUAACUAUAAAAUUAAACAUAGCCCAGUUACUACGGGGAUAACAGCGCUAUUUCUUUUUAGAGACCUAAUCAAAAAAGAAGUUUACGACCUCGAUGUUGAAUUUAGGUACCCCAAUAUAAAGCAAAAAUUUAUUAGGGUGGUCUGUUCGACCAAUAACCACCU